Molecule: small RNA, 82 nt
Filed under: Salmonella enterica
Lineage: Bacteria; Pseudomonadati; Pseudomonadota; Gammaproteobacteria; Enterobacterales; Enterobacteriaceae
Also listed under: 4 other names
Description: partial RtT sRNA
Rfam family: RtT RNA
About the family: This family represents a bacterial cis-regulatory element known as RtT RNA. The exact function of RtT is unknown although it is thought that it may be involved in changing the cellular response in relation to amino acid starvation.
Source: RNAcentral
CGAGCGCAGCGAGAGAACGUUGCGUCAGCAACGGCCCGCAGGGCGAGCCACGCAGUGGCGAGUCAUCCUCUAUCACCGACCA